RNAcentral lists this small nuclear RNA (104 nucleotides) under Staphylococcus aureus. RNAcentral describes it as "SAUSA300s291". Lineage: Bacteria; Bacillati; Bacillota; Bacilli; Caryophanales; Staphylococcaceae. The record is from RNAcentral.
GUGUAGCUUUUAGCGUAUGCAGGCGCAGAAAUGCAAGCACGGAGUGCGUUAAGCAUUUGGGCGGAGCCUGCGACAAAUACGCGUUAAAAAAGCGAGAACGGUCA